CCCCAAGGUGACGCAGCCCUGCCCCAAAACACCUCCUGCGUCUCGGCUGGGUGGGGUGGCACGGUGACAGCCGUGUCCCCAAGGACCCCUCUGCACACCCAGGUCACCUCCACACCGGCACAGCCGUGACAAACCGGGAUGGACAAAGGUGGGGGACAAAUCCCCGCCACCACCACCAUCCCCUUGGGGCCACCCUGAUGUCACCCCCGGGGCCGCCCUGAUGUCACCCGGUGCCUGUGCCGGGGGUGGCCGCGGGAGGACCCUCGGGGACAGCCCGGUGGCCUCACCCCACCCCUGGGGACAGCCCGGCGGCCUGGCCCCAGCCCUGGGGACAGGCAGCUGGCGUGUCCCCGCCCGCAGAGCCACCACGCAACCAGACGGGGCUGUGGGAGCGGGCGGAGCCCGGGGGGGUUCCGGCUCCAAAGGGGGAAAAAUCCCACCGGGAAUGGGGGGCUGGACCCGGAUGGGGGUCCCAGGACAGCUGGAGCAGUGCUGGGGACAACGGGUGCCACGCUGUCACCUCCCUCCGUCGGUGCUGAGCAGCCUGGGGGGGGUCCCGGGGGUCCCCAAACCUUGGCCAAGGGGAGGGGACAGGGAGGGGACGAUCCCUGGGAUUGUUCCCCCAGGCCAAAGCGGGAAAGGUCAGGCGGCGUUGGCGGGGGCAGAUUCCAGCCCCGAGGAAUGCGAGCGCGCCUGGACGCCUCCCAAAAACGCCUGGACGCCUCCCAAAAACGCCUGGACGCCUCCCAAAAAUGCCCGUGUUUGGGACAGGAGUGUCCCAAAUACCGGGAGGACCGGGGAUCCCGGCAUGCACCGCGGCCGGCACGGGGACACACCCACGGGGGACACACGGACAGGGGGACACAUGGACAGGGGGACACAUGGACAGGGGACACAUGGAUAUGGGGAGACACGAAUAGGGGACACAUGGACAGGGGACACAAGGACAGGGGACACACAGAUAUACGGACACAUGGAUAUAGGGACACACGGAUAUGGGGACACACGGAUAUGGGGACAAACAGAUAGGGGACACAUGGAUAGGGGACACACGGAUAGGGGGACACACGGAUAUGGGGACACACAGCCAUGGGGACACACGGCCAUGGGGACACACGACCACGGGGACACAUGGCCAUGGGGACACACGGCCACGGGGACACACGGCCAUGGGGACACACGGACAUGGGGACACACGGACAUGGAGACACACGGCCAUGGGGACACACGGCCAUGGGGACACAUGGACACGGGGACACACGGACACGGGGACACACGGACACGGGGACACACAGUCAUGGGGACACACGGACACGGGGACACACGGCCAUGGGGACACAUGGACACGGGGACACACGGAUAUGGGGACACACGGCCAUGGGGACACACGGCCCUGCUCCCACCCCAGCCUGUACCGAGACAUCCCCGCAUCCUUCCCCCGAUGUCACCCCCGUGUCCCACCCCG
Molecule: long non-coding RNA, 1465 nt
Filed under: Cyanoderma ruficeps (rufous-capped babbler)
Lineage: Eukaryota; Metazoa; Chordata; Aves; Passeriformes; Timaliidae
Description: lncRNA (ENSCRFG00000012494.1)
Source: RNAcentral